Molecule: non-coding RNA, 97 nt
Organism: Sphingopyxis witflariensis
Lineage: Bacteria; Pseudomonadati; Pseudomonadota; Alphaproteobacteria; Sphingomonadales; Sphingopyxidaceae
Source: Rfam
GAGAGCCGGAUGCAGGGAAACUCGCACGUCCGGUUCGGCGAGAGGCGCGAAGAAACCGGCCACCGCGAGGUGGCACGGCGCUUCGCGCCUACUCUAC